CAGCAGCCGCGGGAAUACGUAGGUGGCAAGCGUUGUCCGGAAUUAUUGGGCGUAAAGGGCUCGCAGGCGGUUUCUUAAGCCUGAUGUGAAAGCCCCCGGCUCAACCGGGGAGGGUCAUUGGAAACUGGGAAACUUGAGUGCAGAAGAGGAGAGUGGAAUUCCACGUGUAGCGGUGAAAUGCGUAGAGAUGUGGAGGAACACCAGUGGCGAAGGCGACUCUCUGGUCUGUAACUGACGCUGAGGAGCGAAAGCGUGGGGAGCGAACAGGAUUAGAUACCCCUGUAGUCCCUGUCUCUUAUAC
RNAcentral lists this ribosomal RNA (301 nucleotides) under uncultured bacterium. Its description in RNAcentral is "partial 16S ribosomal RNA". It matches the Rfam family "Bacterial small subunit ribosomal RNA", at positions 509 to 807 of the family's 1533-position model. The record is from RNAcentral.